Molecule: ribosomal RNA, 406 nt
Filed under: uncultured Desulfobulbus sp.
Lineage: Bacteria; Pseudomonadati; Thermodesulfobacteriota; Desulfobulbia; Desulfobulbales; Desulfobulbaceae
Description: bacterial SSU rRNA
Rfam family: Bacterial small subunit ribosomal RNA
Source: RNAcentral
GACAUCCCGGAGACCCUUAGGAAACUAGGGGGUGGCUUCCAUCUGGAAGAAUCUGGAGACAGGUGCUGCAUGGCUGUCGUCAGCCCGUGUCGUGAGAUGUUGGGUUAAGUCCCGCAACGAGCGCAACCCUUGCCUUUAGUUGCCAGCAGUUCGGCUGGGCACUCUAAAGGGACUGCCGGUGUUAAACCGGAGGAAGGUGGGGAUGACGUCAAGUCCUCAUGGCCUUUAUGACCAGGGCUACACACGUACUACAAUGGCCGAUACAAAGGGCAGCGACACUGCGAGGUGAAGCCAAUCCCGUAAAAUCGGUCUCAGUCCGGAUUGGAGUCUGCAACUCGACUCCAUGAAGUUGGAAUCGCUAGUAAUCGUGGAUCAGCAUGCCACGGUGAAUACGUUCCCGGGCCUU